GGAAAUAGAUAAUUAAAGAAGUAAACAUGUUAGUAACUGAACCUUCUUCAAAAAGGUCUAAACGGUAAGCUACAUAAGCAAUAUAUUGAUUUUCUCCUCCAGCAACCGGAUCAAUGUGGUAGCAUCGUCCUUUGUAACGAUCAAGGCUGGUAAGUCCAUCGGUCCACACAGU
Telopea speciosissima is the source of this 172-nucleotide long non-coding RNA. RefSeq lists it as uncharacterized. The transcript has 3 exons. Lineage: Eukaryota; Viridiplantae; Streptophyta; Magnoliopsida; Proteales; Proteaceae. The record is from RefSeq and is a predicted model, not a curated record.